GGCGAGGUCGCAUAGCGGCCUAGUGCGCCGCCCUGCUAAGGCGGUUGGGGCGUGAGUCCCUCGCGGGUUCAAAUCCCGCCCUCGCCGCCA
RNAcentral lists this transfer RNA (90 nucleotides) under Leifsonia sp. Leaf264. Its description in RNAcentral is "tRNA-Ser". It matches the Rfam family "tRNA". Rfam says of the family: Transfer RNA (tRNA) molecules are approximately 80 nucleotides in length. Their secondary structure includes four short double-helical elements and three loops (D, anti-codon, and T loops). Further hydrogen bonds mediate the characteristic L-shaped molecular structure. tRNAs have two regions of fundamental functional importance: the anti-codon, which is responsible for specific mRNA codon recognition, and the 3' end, to which the tRNAs corresponding amino acid is attached (by aminoacyl-tRNA synthetases). tRNAs cope with the degeneracy of the genetic code in two manners: having more than one tRNA (with a specific anti-codon) for a particular amino acid; and 'wobble' base-pairing, i.e. permitting non-standard base-pairing at the 3rd anti-codon position. Lineage: Bacteria; Bacillati; Actinomycetota; Actinomycetes; Micrococcales; Microbacteriaceae. The record is from RNAcentral.